UAAAGCUCUUUUACCCGGGAAGAUAAUGACUGUACCGGGAGAAUAAGCUCCGGCUAACUUCGUGCCAGCAGCCGCGGUAAUACGAAGGGGGCUAGCGUUGUUCGGAAUUACUGGGCGUAAAGCGUGCGCAGGCGGUCUCUCAAGUCAGGGGUGAAAGCCCAGAGCUCAACUCUGGAACUGCCCUUGAAACUGUGAGGCUCGAGUGCGGGAGAGGUGAGUGGAAUUCCCAGUGUAGAGGUGAAAUUCGUAGAUAUUGGGAAGAACACCGGUGGCGAAGGCGGCUCACUGGCCCGUUUCUGACGCUCAUGCACGAUAGCGUGGGGAUCAAACAGGAUUAGAUACCCUGGUAGUCCACGCCGUAAACUAUGGACGCUAGCCGUUGGGUAGCUUGCUAUUCAGUGGCGCAGCUAACGCAUUAAGCGUCCCGCCUGGGGAGUACGGCCGCAAGGUUGAAACUCAAAGGAAUUGACGGGGGCCCGCACAAGCGGUGGAGCAUGUGGUUU
Molecule: ribosomal RNA, 503 nt
Filed under: uncultured Hyphomicrobiales bacterium
Lineage: Bacteria; Pseudomonadati; Pseudomonadota; Alphaproteobacteria; Hyphomicrobiales
Description: bacterial SSU rRNA
Rfam family: Bacterial small subunit ribosomal RNA
Source: RNAcentral